CUCCGCCCCUUCCUUCCGCUUGGUUCUGUUGAAGGCAAAGCUGAUGGAGUUUGAGUUUGCCAUUGUAAACAGGGAGAGUGAAAAAUACGGCUCUGCGCAGUUCAGGUCCACAAUCAGAACCACAGGUCCACGACCAUGCUGAGAUUAGCAGGGACGAAACAAGCCUGGAACCCGCAGCUCCAUUCGAGUCUCAGUGUAAAGUCUCAAAUCCGGUCUCCUGGCUCUCGGGAUUUGCACAACCACAGCUCCUCACGCUGACCCAGGCAACCGGAAAUGACGUAAGCCAAUCCCGCCUCACUUAAGAGGGGCUGGGGUACAUGGUCGGAGGACCGCAGCUCCGUGGCAUUCCGGGAGACGACCUUGGCUGGAAUUCCUGCAGUCCAUCAAGCCACAACUGAUUGGAAAGACUGAUUGGUUGGAUCAGGCGGGCGGAGGCGCAGAAUCCACUUAAGUCACCGACCACGUAAAGUUCAUUGUAGUCUGCUAGACACCGAGAGCAAGAGGCCGCAGCAGAGGAGGUGUAGAGAAACCGACCCCCAAAGGGUGGCGUGCACUGCGGUCAAGCUCUAGUGGGGGGCUUUUUACGUUACUUAACUCUUUUAGGAAGAAGGCCUGAGGACUUUGUGUGAGGACUUGGGUGAAAGGCGGCCAAGCUCGUGGGCGGGGUCUGCAGGAAACGGCUGGGCCUGCAGAAAUGGGGCGGUGGGGCUUGAAAUGGGCAGAGUAGGCCGUGAUGCUGAAGGGUCUUGCGCCUCCAACUUUUCUCCGCCUCCUCUUUUCUUGCUACCGGAGGAGCCUCGGUCUUCUAACAUUGACCUUUCUUGCGACCUUGACAUCUGUGACCAUUUCCAUUGCCCAUACACAGCUUGGAAACAGCAAAUUCAGCACACCCUACACCGACUUCUGUAAAUCUUUUCACCUCCUUGCAUUCAUAAUUCUUCCAUUCAUCUUUCAUCUAUUUCUUCAUUCAGAACCUAUCUACCCAACCACCCAUGCUUUUUUUCUUCCAGUAUUGGGGAUUUGACCCAGAGUCUGGUGCAUUCAGGAGACACACUCUUCCAUUGAGCUACAGUCCCAUCCCAUUCAUUUGUAAUCAGUUCACACAUCAUACACAUUUGUCCUGCCGAGGCUCAGAUCCUGGGGAGUAGAUUCAGGAUCUGGGCAGGUGGAAGAAGAUGCAAGAUGCAGCUGGGAUAGUAGACAUACUUUAUUUAGAGAGGGCAGCAGCCUUUAAGCAGCCUCCAGUUCCAGCUUUAACCCCCCACCCCCACAACGAGUUCCAUUUAGCCCUCAUAGGCCUUUUUAUAUUGCAGAGCAGAGAAGGCACAUUGUCAGCAGGUUACAUCAGUGGGUGCAUGCUCAUAAACAAAUGUUUAUAACCUUGGGUAUGUAUGCUGAAUCAGAGUGUUUGUGAACUUGGCUACACACUUAAAAACAGUCUGUAGGAAGGCUUUGGGAGGGAACCUAAAUAGUCAUCCAGGGUGUACUCAUUGACAUCGAGAAACUGAUGUGACUCCAUUUUUGAGAAACCAGCCUCUAACUCAGAGCAAAGCCUGUCCACGGAAGAGGGCAUGGCCCUUGUCCUUGGAAAAACCCACAGAGCACUCCUAGGCACAUACCCACCCUGCUGAGUUGUUUGUCUGCAAAUAAUAGGAGAGAUCUGUGGCGCCAGGACCCAUAUAGCAACCCUCUAGCAACUACCAAUCAGCAUGAGACAGGGAAAAUACCUGGGAUGCCAGGUGACCCUCCCAGUAGUUUAUGGUGGUUGAUAACAUGUUGGGAAACUAUGUAGUUCAGCACGUACACCCCUCAUGGGUUAAACCAAUCAGUUCAAACGAAUCCCCCCCUUGUACUAACCAAUCACCCCUACCCAACUUGUUCCCGCCAGUGAAUGUGCUAAUCAUGUUUUAGAGUUGUUUUAUGAUUUUCCUGCGGUGUGUGAUGAUUUGCUAAGAGAUGCUGUGAUGUAUGUGAAGUCCCUGCCUUCCCCAAAGAGUGAAUAAAACUGCUGCAAACCCUGGA
Marmota monax (woodchuck) is the source of this 2022-nucleotide long non-coding RNA. RefSeq lists it as uncharacterized. Lineage: Eukaryota; Metazoa; Chordata; Mammalia; Rodentia; Sciuridae. The transcript has 2 exons. The record is from RefSeq and is a predicted model, not a curated record.